RNAcentral lists this ribosomal RNA (476 nucleotides) under uncultured bacterium. Its description in RNAcentral is "bacterial SSU rRNA". It matches the Rfam family "Bacterial small subunit ribosomal RNA", at positions 27 to 518 of the family's 1533-position model. The record is from RNAcentral.
GGACGAACGCUGGCGGCGUGCCUAACACAUGCAAGUCGAGCGGAGAUUAUAGCAAUGUAAUCUUAGCGGCGGACGGGUGAGUAACGCGUGGGCAACCUGCCUUUCACAGGGGGAUAACACAGGGAAACUUGUGCUAAUACCGCAUAAGAUCAUAGGAGGACAUCCUCCAGUGACCAAAGGAGCAAUCCGGUGAGAGAUGGGCCCGCGUCCAAUUAGCUAGUUGGUGGUGUAACGGACCACCAAGGCGACGAUUGGUAGCCGAACUGAGAGGUUGAUCGGCCACAUUGGGACUGAGAUACGGCCCAGACUCCUACGGGAGGCAGCAGUGGGGAAUAUUGCGCAAUGGGGGGAACCCUGACGCCAGCAACGCCGCGUGAAGGAUGAAGGUUUUCGGAUCGUAAACUUCUUUGAUGAGGGACGAAAGAAAUGACGGCACCUCAAAAACAAGCCACGGCUAACUACGUGCCAGCCGCAGC